CUUAGUUGAGGACGUUGUC
Molecule: non-coding RNA, 19 nt
Filed under: Rattus norvegicus (Norway rat)
Lineage: Eukaryota; Metazoa; Chordata; Mammalia; Rodentia; Muridae
Source: RNAcentral